UACUUGCAUUAAGGAAGCAACGAGCCAUGCACCUAGCUAAGCAUACAGGACGUGUUCCACACUGAAGUGCGCAUAAUGCUGCGCAUACGGGAUCACGUUUUUGAGCCAUGGAAUGCUCUGUUGACAUGAGAAGCAUUGCAACCAACAACACCACCACAAAACUUUUCCCUGCCAUUGAUUUUUCUUAAGAGUAUAGUAAGUGAUUUAUCUUAGCUUGUUGAUGUACAAGUAAGGUUCUCAUAGUGAACUAUUUAUAGAGGAAACCAAUGUUUUUCUUUUGUGUGGUGGAGAUUUUUUGCAAAUACUACGGAUUUUCUCAUCGGUGUUUGCAGUUUUUCAACUUCCAUAUUUGAAUGCUAGUAACAUGCUUGUAUUUUGAUGAAAAUAAUAGUUCCUACUGAUAUAAAUCGCUACAAAAAAUAUAUUAAAUUGUGA
This 435-nucleotide long non-coding RNA is filed under the name Nicotiana benthamiana. RNAcentral describes it as "long non-coding RNA (NBEN_LNC002244)". Lineage: Eukaryota; Viridiplantae; Streptophyta; Magnoliopsida; Solanales; Solanaceae. The record is from RNAcentral.